Molecule: ribosomal RNA, 770 nt
Filed under: Placopsis tararuana
Lineage: Eukaryota; Fungi; Ascomycota; Lecanoromycetes; Trapeliales; Trapeliaceae
Description: SSU rRNA
Rfam family: Eukaryotic small subunit ribosomal RNA
Source: RNAcentral
AGGUUUAUCGUUUAUYCUUGAUAGUACCUACUUACUUGGAUAACCGUGGUAAUUCUAGAGCUAAUACAUGCUAAAAACCUCGACUUCGGAAGGGGUGUAUUUAUUAGAUAAAAAACCAAUGCCCUUCGGGGCUCCCUGGUGAUUCAUAAUAACUAAACGAAUCGCAUGGCCUUGCGCCGGCGAUGGUUCAUUCAAAUUUCUGCCCUAUCAACUUUCGAUGGUAGGAUAGUGGCCUACCAUGGUGGCAACGGGUAACGGGGAAUUAGGGUUCUAUUCCGGAGAGGGAGCCUGAGAAACGGCUACCACAUCCAAGGAAGGCAGCAGGCGCGCAAAUUACCCAAUCCCGACACGGGGAGGUAGUGACAAUAAAUACUGAUGUGGAGCUCUUUAGGGUUUCACAAUUGGAAUGAGAAAAAUCUAAACCACUUAAACGAGGAACAAUUGGAGGGCAAGUCUGGUGCCAGCAGCCGCGGUAAUUCCAGCUCCAAUAGCGUAUAUUAAAGUUGUUGCAGUUAAAAAGCUCGUAGUUGAACCUUGGGCCUGGUCGGCCGGUCCGCCUCACCGCGUGCACUGGUUCGACCGGGCCUUUCCUCCUGGGGAACCGCAUGCCCUUCACUGGGUGUGCCGGGGAAUCAGGACUUUUACUUUGAAAAAAUUAGAGUGUUCAAAGCAGGCAUUUGCUCGAAUACAUUAGCAUGGAAUAAUAGAAUAGGACGUUGUGGUUCUAUUUUGUUGGUUUCUAGGACCGCCGUAAUGAUUAAUAGGGGACG